This 484-nucleotide ribosomal RNA is filed under the name uncultured bacterium. RNAcentral's name for it is "partial 16S ribosomal RNA". It matches the Rfam family "Bacterial small subunit ribosomal RNA", at positions 29 to 507 of the family's 1533-position model. The record is from RNAcentral.
AUUGAACGCUGGCGGCAUGCUUUACACAUGCAAGUCGAACGGCAGCGCGGGCUUCGGCCUGGCGGCGAGUGGCGAACGGGUGAGUAAUACAUCGGAACGUGCCCAGUAGUGGGGGAUAGCUCGGCGAAAGCCGGAUUAAUACCGCAUACGGCCUGAGGGUGAAAGCGGGGGAUCUUCGGACCUCGCGCUAUUGGAGCGGCCGAUGGCAGAUUAGCUAGUUGGUGGGGUAAAGGCCUACCAAGGCGACGAUCUGUAGCUGGUCUGAGAGGACGACCAGCCACACUGGGACUGAGACACGGCCCAGACUCCUACGGGAGGCAGCAGUGGGGAAUUUUGGACAAAGGGCGAAAGCCUGAUCCAGCAAUGCCGCGUGUGUGAUGAAGGCCUUCGGGUUGUAAAGCACUUUUGGCGGGAACGAAAAGGACUGUGCCAAUACCACGGUUCGAUGACGGUACCCGCAGAAUAAGCACCGGCUAACUACGUG